AUCUAGCUGACGAGUCCCAUAUAAGACGAAACAUGCGUCCUGGAU
Non-coding RNA from Schistosoma curassoni, 45 nucleotides. The record is from Rfam. Lineage: Eukaryota; Metazoa; Platyhelminthes; Trematoda; Strigeidida; Schistosomatidae.